UCGAACGGAGGGCUUCGGUCCUCAGUGGCGGACGGGUGAGUAACGCGUAGGGAUCUGCCCCGCAGUGGGGGACAACCUGGGGAAACUCAGGCUAAUACCGCAUACGCUCCACGGAGGAAAGCGGGGGACCUUCGGGCCUCGCGCUGCGGGAUGAACCUACGUCCGAUUAGCUGGUUGGUGGGGUAACGGCCCACCAAGGCGACGAUCGGUAGCUGGUCUGAGAGGACGGCCAGCCACACUGGGACUGAGACACGGCCCAGACUCCUACGGGAGGCAGCAGUGGGGAAUAUUGGACAAUGGGCGCAAGCCUGAUCCAGCAAUGCCGCGUGGGUGAAGACGGCCUGCGGGUUGUAAAGCCCUUUAGGCGGGGAAGAACGGCCGGGCGCGAACAGCGCGCGGCCCUGACGUUACCCGCAGAAUAAGCACCGGCUAACUCCGUGCCAGCAGCCGCGGUAAUACGGAGGGUGCGAGCGUUAAUCGGAAUUACUGGGCGUAAAGCGUGCGUAGGCGGUUCGGUCAGUCAGCCGUGAAAGCCCCGGGCUCAACCUGGGAACGGCGGUUGAGACGGCCGGACUAGAGUGGGCUAGAGGAUCGUGGAAUUCCCGGUGUAGCGGUGAAAUGCGUA
RNAcentral lists this ribosomal RNA (625 nucleotides) under uncultured bacterium. RNAcentral describes it as "bacterial SSU rRNA". It matches the Rfam family "Bacterial small subunit ribosomal RNA", at positions 62 to 692 of the family's 1533-position model. The record is from RNAcentral.